UAAAACCCUUAUAAACCCUAAUUCAUUAAAACCCCGUCGAACUAAAUCUCUGUUUCUUCUCACACGCAGCUGAAACAGAUCGAUUCAUCGACCUUUAGCUAUGGCCACCUCCGUUCUGCUUCGACAAUUACGACGCCGUGACGUUGCCUCCGCCCCUAUCUCCGCCUACAAAUGCGUACGUCAAUUUUUAAACUUAAUAUAAGCAAUCGAUUUUUGGGAAUUUCUCGUAUUUUUAUGUUUUGGAUUGAUCUGUAUCGUGGGUAUUUGUUUGCAUAUGAUUUUUUUUUGUAAAGUCUGUUACUUUCUCGAUUUUAGAUACUGAUUCUUGCUAAACUUUGGAUUUCUGGAGCUUGCUGCUCUUGUGGUAUUGGUUUUCAGCUUAUAAUUUCAUCUAGGCUCUGCCGUUCUGUGUUUUAUAUGAAAUAUAAAGUAAUCGAUUUCACUUUUUAUUUCACCAUGGUAUUCGAAUAAAUUGACGGUCUCUCUAGUAUCUGCCUAUGCAAUGAAUUAACUUUUUUUGAAACGUUGUUUGCAGGUUUGUUUAACGUAUGGGUUUCUUUUUUAAGGAUUGAUUGAUGUCGUGAUACUUGUUAUUGUUAAUUUUUUUUUUGGGGGGGGGGGGGAUGAUUCACGUUGUGAUUUUUUGUGUACUUGUGUUAAAUUUUAGAAUCUUAUAAAAAUAAAUUGUUAGUGGAUAUGUGAUUCUUAAUAUUUGUAAUGGUGGUUGUUGCAGUUUACUAGCAAUGUUAAGCCCUCAUGGGCCCCUUCUAAUCUGGGUAAAAGUUGGGCAAGUUUGACUAGACCUUUCAGGUAUUCAUGUUUUUGCCUGCUGUUUUUAUCUUGGAUGUUUAAGUGGAUUUCUUAUGAUUGUUGUUUGUAACUCUUUGAAUUUGUUUGUGCAGUUCAAAACCUGCUGGUAAUGACAUUAUUGGAAUUGAUCUCGGAACUACCAACUCAUGUGUUGCACUUAUGGAGGGAAAGGUAAGAAUGCCUUGUGUUUUCAAUAUAUUUUUCUACAUGGUCAUGUUCAUAGCUUUUGACAGUUCAGGGAUUGUUUCUGAUUUAUUUUUAUGUUAUGCAUAGAACCCCAAAGUUAUUGAGAACUCUGAAGGAUCUAGGACUACACCCUCAGUUGUAGCUUUCAAUCAGAAGGGAGAGCUACUUGUGGGUACACCAGCAAAGCGUCAGGCUGUGACCAACCCAACUAACACGCUCUUUGGCACCAAGCGUUUAAUUGGUAGAAAAUUUGAUGAUCCCCAGACACAAAAAGAAAUGCAGAUGGUUUCAUAUAAGAUAGUAAGGGCCCCCAAUGGGGAUGCUUGGGUUGAAGCCAAUGGGCAGCAGUACUCGCCAAGUCAGAUUGGGGCCUUUGUUCUGACCAAGAUGAAAGAAACUGCAGAAUCCUACCUUGGAAAGUCAGUUUCAAAAGCAGUAAUCACAGUUCCAGCUUAUUUCAACGAUGCUCAAAGGCAAGCUACUAAGGAUGCUGGUAGAAUUGCUGGCCUUGAUGUUCAGAGAAUCAUUAAUGAGCCUACAGCUGCUUCACUUUCUUAUGGCAUGAACAACAAGGAGGGUCUCAUUGCAGUAUUUGAUCUUGGUGGCGGAACAUUUGAUGUCUCAAUCCUUGAAAUUUCUAAUGGAGUAUUUGAGGUAUUAAUUGUUUGAUAAUUUGAAAUGUUAUGUUACUGAUUGUUUAAAAAAGUGAUACUAAUUACCAUAUCAUGCAGGUGAAAGCAACAAAUGGUGAUACGUUCUUGGGGGGAGAGGAUUUUGACAACACUUUGUUGGAGUUUUUAGUGAGUGAAUUUAAGAGGACUGAAGGAAUUGAUCUGUCAAAGGAUAGGCUUGCAUUGCAGAGGCUUCGUGAGGCUGCCGAGAAGGCGAAGAUUGAACUUUCAUCAACAACCCAGACUGACAUUAAUCUUCCAUUCAUCACAGCUGAUGCGUCAGGUGCAAAGCAUUUGAAUAUCACACUUACUAGAUCCAAAUUUGAGACUUUGGUGAAUAACCUGAUUGAGAGGACCAGAGCCCCUUGUAAGAACUGUUUGAAGGAUGCCAACAUUACCACAAAGGAUGUGGAUGAGGUACUUUUGGUUGGAGGAAUGACCCGUGUGCCAAAGGUGCAGGAAGUGGUCUCGGAAAUCUUUGGUAAGAGUCCAAGCAAGGGAGUAAAUCCUGAUGAGGCAGUUGCCCUUGGUGCUGCUAUUCAAGGUGGUAUUCUUCGCGGCGAUGUCAAAGAGUUGCUUCUCUUGGAUGUUACACCUCUGUCACUGGGUAUUGAGACACUAGGUGGUAUCUUCACCAGGUUGAUCAAUCGCAACACAACUAUUCCAACAAAGAAGAGUCAGGUGAGUAACCUUCAAGUGCUUUACAUCAACACGUGUGAAUAAUUUUGAAGUGACCCAUUUCUGCAGAAACAUAUGUGAAUAUUUAAUUUUUUGUUUUAGAAUAAUCUGACAUGGCCAUAUGAAUUUUGAGUAUGCAGUUGUAGAGACACAACAUAGGGUGGACAGAUGUUUCCUGAUUUAUUAAGCCACUUGUUUUCAUAUUCCAUGGUGCUGGUUGUGGCAUUGUGCCCAAGGAUCUGACUAGUAGUUUUUGCUCUUUUUUUUUGGCCUCUGGUCCAAUGGAUACAUAUACUGUCACAAAGCAUCUUUAUGAUUUUUUUUUUCUUUGUUCUCCAUGACAUGAUGGUCAAACUGAUUGGUGUUCCUUUGUCUACAGGUCUUCUCAACAGCAGCUGAUAACCAGACUCAGGUGGGGAUUAAGGUGCUUCAAGGUGAGCGCGAAAUGGCAUCUGACAACAAGUCCCUAGGAGAGUUUGAACUUGUGGGCAUUCCACCAGCUCCUAGAGGCAUGCCUCAGAUUGAGGUCACAUUUGACAUUGAUGCCAAUGGUAUUGUCACUGUUUCUGCAAAGGACAAGGCCACUGGCAAGGAACAGCAAAUUACCAUCCGCUCAUCUGGAGGUCUAUCAGAGGAUGAAAUUGAGAAGAUGGUUAAGGAAGCAGAAUUGCAUGCCCAGAGGGAUAACGAAAGAAAAGCUCUGAUUGAUAUCAGAAACCAGGCAGAUACCACCAUCUACAGCAUUGAGAAGAGCUUGGGUGAGUACAGAGAAAAGAUUCCCAGUGAGGUUGCAAAAGAGAUUGAGGAUGCUGUUGCAGAUUUGAGAAAGGCCAUGGGAGCUGACAAUGUUGAUGAUAUCAAGUCCAAGCUUGAUGCAGCUAACAAAGCUGUCUCUAAGAUUGGACAACACAUGGCUGGUGGUUCUGGUGGUGGUGCUGCUUCUGGAGGUUCCCAGGGUGGUGAACAGACUCCCGAGGCUGAGUAUGAGGAGGUGAAAAAGUGAGCACAGAGGUAGUAAAUUUCGUUCGUUGAUGCUUCAAAAGGAGUCGGACAUUCAGGGAUGAGUCUUGUUUUGAUUUGUAGUUUUAGGAUAUAUGGCGGUUUUGUAUCUAAAUUUUUAUUUAUUCAAGUUGUUAGGAUAACGUUUUACUUUAUUUUGAGAAACUGCACGAGCAAGUUAAAACCCUUUCCGGUGUAUGGUUUAACAUGAAUUUUUCAUGAAAUAAUUCCAUUGUUUACUUCUUGUGCUGUUGCGCUGCUUCUGGGACUCUCCACGAUAUCUUAGUGUUGACACUUCACGUUUGGUGUUUCUCGAUGAUCCUACAUUUCUUUUAGGUUCAAAAGCUUAUUUAAGCCAACAGAUGGUAGGUAUUGAUUAAAAUUUCAUUUUCAUCCUUUUAAUUAUUUUAUCUAAAAUUUGAAUGGAUUUAAUUUUUUUUAAUAUUUAAAUAUUAAAAAGAGUUCUGAUAUUUGUCUCGGGUCAACCCCAAAACUAAACAAAAUAACGUUGUUUUAUUUAUUUAUUUUUUCUUUUUUGCUUCUCCAAAAUGUUGCCGUUUCACUUACCAUUUCCAAUACCCAGAAGAAGAUACCAAUUACGAUUUGAUGUCACCCCCAAUACUAUUGCAGCAAACUUGGCUCCUUCCCCGUUACCAGCUCGAAGUUCGUUUGCAACUCUCACUCUGCAGUACAUAUUUCAUACAUAACAAACACUGGUCGAUCUAUAUAUCUCUCAGACACAUGCAAAUCAUUGAUAGUCAGACCUUUGAUGGCAAUAGUGAUUUGCUAUUAAUCUCUUGUGACUGAAACUUAUUUGAGAUCUGAGAGAUAUUAUAGCCAGGCAUUUGAUUUAGGAAAAAAGAAUUGAAAAAAAAUUAUAAAAGGGCAGCGAGAGUGUUACCCAGUUGAAGCAAAGAAUGGAGAGGAAUCAUCAUUUCUCAGCAAAUUAUUUUAACUAAUAAGCAUUUGAAGAAACGAAGAAACGAAGAGAUUUACGGUGAAAUGAAUUGCGAAUGACUAGCUCUUCUAUCUGUCUCGUUCCCAGGUGAAACGAAGAAACGAAGAGGAAGAGAUUUACGGUGCAACUCUUCAUUUUGCAAAUGGUAAGUGAAACGGCAACGUUUUGGAGAAGCAAAAAAGAAAAAAAAAAACAAAACAAAACGAUGCCGUUUUGUUUAGUUUCGGGGUUCGACCCGGGGCAAACAUCAUUUUCCUAUUAGAAAUAUUUUGUUAUUUUUAUAUACAAUGAGUAUUGCAAAUGGAAGAUUGUCUGUAUAGGCAUAUGGAGACAUGCAAGAAGUUGAUGGAUAUUUAAGAAAUUUUAAAGCAAUGUGCAGGGCGUUUACACAUAAAGAUUUUGCCUGAUAUCCUACGCAAAUCAAAUCGUGGUGAUGAUGAAUUCAAAGAAAUGUUUCUGAACUAUACAAAUUUGUGUUAAUAUGAACAAAUAGAUAGAGAUAGAUAUGGCUGUCAACCUAAACUUGGUAACAAAUUUGUGUUAAUAUGAACAAAUUUUUGUGUUACACAAAAAUGAUAUAUACAAAUUCCACACUAGCUGUAGCCCAUUUAGGAGUGGUUAAUAUGAGACAAGGGAAAAGUUAUCCAUAAUCAACUCUAUUAUAUUAAUCAUCUUUUACUCCCUCUUUCACCUAAUUUGGGUAUCUAGUUUGAUGACGAAAAACGUGCAUUGACUUACACGUAUGUAACACUUUAAUAUUAUUAAAAGAAAUUCAAUAGAAACAAAUAAAUUAUAUUUUUUUCCGUGGAUUUCAUUAAAAGUUUCAUGUCACUAGUUUUUCAUAUUUACAGCAGCUAGUAAAGAGCAAAGCUACACUAGCUGUGGUCAUGAAUAUGCUAUAAAGAGCAGAUAAAGGGAAACAAGUUAAUUAGAACAUAAUACUUCAGCAAAAAAUGAUUAUAAGUUGGUGACUAUCGAUGGCCAGGAAGUGGCCAACUAGCCAAGCAGCAAGCAAAAGAAGAACCAACCAAGCAGCAUGCAGAAGAAGAAUCACUGAUUCACUGACGGCGACAACUUGCAGAGGAAGAUGUAGGGGCUUCGUAGACAACUAGCUGACUAUGUUUUAGUAAUUUUGUUUAGGGAUACAUUUUGCAAAAUAUAACUUAGUAAUUGGCAAAAAAAAAAAAUGUGGUCCUCAACACCUCGCCCUCCAUUUCAGCAAAUUAACAUCACUCCUCCCUCAGUUUACCUUAUCUCCAAACCUCGUUCAUAAUAAUGAUUGUGAAAUUAUUGGUAUGUUAUGAAUCCUUUCCAAAAAUAUCAAUGACAAACACAAUAUAACAGCAGUGGAUUCAUUAUAGACCUGUUUAGACAAAGAUAGAAAUAACUUACUGCUAUAAUCCUCUGAGCUGCAGCCAAGGCUGAUGUUUUCAAACAGGUUUUUGGGAGUAGAAGUUUCCUCCUUUAUCAAGCAAAUCCUACAAACAUGGAAGAAGAAUGGAAAUUUAAAAAAAAAAAAGACAUUACCAAACUAACUUCUUCACUAUCGAAAAUUCAUAAAUAUUAUUUCCAAAUUAGAAUUAGUUUUAAAAAAAUUCAAAUCAAUAUUAUCCAUCAACAAUCAACGACAUAGAUCAAAGAACAUACUUCAGCAAAAAUGCAAUAAAAGUGGGUGACUAUCGAUGGCAAUUAAUCGGCGAAACCACGAGAAAUCUUGAUGGCGGCAUUCAACCGACCAGCCAAGCCGCAAGUGGAAGAAGAAGCACCGACGGCAACGACUUGUAGACGAAUCGAUUAGGAUUUGAUUAUUAUGUUUCAAUUUGGCACCGUCUCUUUUUACCCUUCACAAUCCCUUAAUCUGACUAUUCCGUCUUCGAUUUUUGAUUUUU
This 6191-nucleotide long non-coding RNA is filed under the name Citrus maxima (pomelo). RNAcentral's name for it is "long non-coding RNA (CMAX_LNC003274)". The record is from RNAcentral. Lineage: Eukaryota; Viridiplantae; Streptophyta; Magnoliopsida; Sapindales; Rutaceae.